RNAcentral lists this ribosomal RNA (274 nucleotides) under uncultured bacterium. RNAcentral's name for it is "partial 16S ribosomal RNA". It matches the Rfam family "Bacterial small subunit ribosomal RNA", at positions 523 to 796 of the family's 1533-position model. The record is from RNAcentral.
AUACGGAGGGUGCGAGCGUUAAUCGGAAUUACUGGGCGUAGAGGGUGCGUAGGCGGCUUGAUAAGUCGGAUGUGAAAGCCCCGGGCUUAACCUGGGAAUUGCAUUCGAUACUGUCAGGCUAGAGUAUGUCAGAGGUUGGCGGAAUUCCUGGUGUAGCGGUGAAAUGCGUAGAUAUCAGGAGGAACACCAGUGGCGAAGGCGGCUAACUGGGGCAAUACUGACGCUGAGGCACGAAAGCGUGGGGAGCAAACAGGAUUAGAAACCCCAGUAGUCC